GCCCGGAGAUAGCUGGUUCUCCCCGAAAUAGCUUUAGGGCUAGCCUCAAGGUGAGAGAUACGGAGGUAGAGCACUGAAUGUCCUAGGGGGUAUUGCACCUACCGAAGACUAUCAAACUCCGAAUGCCGUCAUCUUAUACUUGGGAGUCAGACUGUGGGUGAUAAGAUUCAUAGUCGAAAGGGCAACAGCCCAGAUCGUCAGCUAAGGUCCCUAAAUGUAAGUUAAGUGGUAAAGGAUGUGGGAUUGCACAGACAACCAGGAUGUUGGCUUAGAAGCAGCCACUCAUUCAAAGAGUGCGUAAUAGCUCACUGGUCGAGUGAUCCUGCGCCGAAGAUUUCCGGGGCUAAAACUUACUACCGAAGCUACGGCAUCAGUAAUGAUGGGUAGGGGAGCUUCCCAUACGGGUUGAAGCAUGACCGUAAGGACAUGUGGACAGUAUGGGAGUGAGAAUGUUGGCAUGAGUAGCGAGAUGUGGGUGAGAAUCCCACAGGCCGUAAACCCAAGGU
RNAcentral lists this ribosomal RNA (506 nucleotides) under Clostridioides difficile. RNAcentral describes it as "partial 23S ribosomal RNA". It matches the Rfam family "Bacterial large subunit ribosomal RNA", at positions 837 to 1351 of the family's 2925-position model. Lineage: Bacteria; Bacillati; Bacillota; Clostridia; Peptostreptococcales; Peptostreptococcaceae. The record is from RNAcentral.